Molecule: ribosomal RNA, 451 nt
Filed under: uncultured bacterium
Lineage: Bacteria
Description: partial 16S ribosomal RNA
Rfam family: Bacterial small subunit ribosomal RNA
Source: RNAcentral
AGCGAACGCUGGCGGCAGGCCUAACACAUGCAAGUCGAGCGGCCGUAGCAAUACGGCAGCGGCAGACGGGAGAGUAACACGUGGGAACGCGCCCUUCGGUUCGGGAUAACUCAGGGAAACUUGAGCUAAUACCGGAUACGCCCUUACGGGGAAAGAUUUAUUGCCGAAGGAACGGCCCGCGUCCGAUUAGCUUGUUGGUGAGGUAACGGCUCACCAAGGCGACGAUCGGUAGCUGGUCUGAGAGGAUGACCAGCCUCACUGGGACUGAGACACGGCCCAGACUCCUACGGGAGGCAGCAGUGGGGAAUAUUGGACAAUGGGCGCAAGCCUGAUCCAGCCAUGCCGCGUGGGUGAUGAAGGCCCUAGGGUUGUAAAAUUCUUUCACCGGGGACGAUAAUGACGGUACCCGGAGAAGAAGCCCCGGCUAACUUCGUGCCAGCAGCCGCAGUAA